GUCUUUUGACUUAGAUUUGGGUGGCGGACGGGUGAGUAACGCGUAAAGAACUUGCCUCACAGCUAGGGACAACAUUUGGAAACGAAUGCUAAUACCUGAUAUUAUGAUUUUAAGGCAUCUUAGAAUUAUGAAAGCUAUACGCACUGUGAGAGAGCUUUGCGUCCCAUUAGCUAGUUGGAGAGGUAACGGCUCACCAAGGCGAUGAUGGGUAGCCGGCCUGAGAGGGUGAACGGCCACAAGGGGACUGAGACACGGCCCUUACUCCUACGGGAGGCAGCAGUGGGGAAUAUUGGACAAUGGACCAAGAGUCUGAUCCAGCAAUUCUGUGUGCACGAUGACGUUUUUCGGAAUGUAAAGUGCUUUCAGUUGGGAAGAAAAAAAUGACGGUACCAACAGAAGAAGUGACGGCUAAAUACGUGCCAGCAGCCGCGGUAAUACGUAUGUCACGAGCGUUAUCCGGAUUUAUUGGGCGUAAAGCGCGUCUAGGUGGUUAUGUAAGUCUGAUGUGAAAAUGCAGGGCUCAACUCUGUAUUGCGUUGGAAACUGUGUAACUAGAGUACUGGAGAGGUAAGCGGAACUACAAGUGUAGAGGUGAAAUUCGUAGAUAUUUGUAGGAAUGCCGAUGGGGAAGCCAGCUUACUGGACAGAUACUGACGCUGAAGCGCGAAAGCGUGGGUAGCAAACAGGAUUAGACACCCUGGUAGUCCACGCCGUAAACGAUGAUUACUAGGUGUUGGGGGUCGAACCUCAGCGCCCAAGCAAACGCGAUAAGUAAUCCGCCUGGGGAGUACGUACG
RNAcentral lists this ribosomal RNA (796 nucleotides) under uncultured Fusobacterium sp. Its description in RNAcentral is "bacterial SSU rRNA". It matches the Rfam family "Bacterial small subunit ribosomal RNA", at positions 76 to 888 of the family's 1533-position model. Lineage: Bacteria; Fusobacteriati; Fusobacteriota; Fusobacteriia; Fusobacteriales; Fusobacteriaceae. The record is from RNAcentral.